This 251-nucleotide ribosomal RNA is filed under the name uncultured bacterium. RNAcentral's name for it is "partial 16S ribosomal RNA". It matches the Rfam family "Bacterial small subunit ribosomal RNA", at positions 525 to 775 of the family's 1533-position model. The record is from RNAcentral.
ACGGAGGAUCCGAGCGUUAUCCGGAUUUAUUGGGUUUAAAGGGAGCGUAGGCGGAUUGUUAAGUCAGUUGUGAAAGUUUGCGGCUCAACCGUAAAAUUGCAGUUGAUACUGGCAGUCUUGAGUGCAGUAGAGGUGGGCGGAAUUCGUGGUGUAGCGGUGAAAUGCUUAGAUAUCACGAAGAACUCCGAUUGCGAAGGCAGCUCACUGGAGUGUAACUGACGCUGAUGCUCGAAAGUGUGGGUAUCAAACAG